RNAcentral lists this unclassified non-coding RNA (253 nucleotides) under uncultured Actinomycetes bacterium. RNAcentral describes it as "uncultured actinobacterium contains 16S-23S intergenic spacer region". It matches the Rfam family "Bacterial small subunit ribosomal RNA", at positions 524 to 776 of the family's 1533-position model. The record is from RNAcentral. Lineage: Bacteria; Bacillati; Actinomycetota; Actinomycetes.
AACGUAGGGGGCAAGCGUUGCCCGGAUUCACUGGGCGUAAAGCGGGUGUAGGCGGUCCGUUAAGUCGGGUGUGAAAUCUCCAAGCUCAACUUGGAAACUGCACCCGAUACUGGCGGACUUGAGGACGGUAGAGGUCGGUGGAAUGCGAGGUGUACCGGUGAAAUGGACAGAUAUCUCGCGGAACACCAGUGGCGAAGGCGGCCGACUGGGCCGAUCCUGACGCUGAGACCCGAAAGCCAGGGUAGCGAACCGG